AUUGAACGCUGGCGGCAGGCCUAACACAUGCAAGUCGAGCGGUAGAGAGGUGCUUGCAUCUCUUGAGAGCGGCGGACAGGUGAGUAAUGCCUAGGAAUCUGCCUAGUGGUGGGGGAUAACGUUCGGAAACGGACGCUAAUACCGCAUACGUCCUACGGGAGAAAGCGGGGGAUCUUCGGACCUCGCGCCAUUAGAUGAGCCUAGGUCGGAUUAGCUAGUUGGUGAGGUAAUGGCUCACCAAGGCGACGAUCCGUAACUGGUCUGAGAGGAUGAUCAGUCACACUGGAACUGAGACACGGUCCAGACUCCUACGGGAGGCAGCAGUGGGGAAUAUUGGACAAUGGGCGAAAGCCUGAUCCAGCCAUGCCGCGUGUGUGAAGAAGGUCUUCGGAUUGUAAAGCACUUUAAGUUGGGAGGAAGGGUAGUAACCUAAUACGUUGCUACUUUGACGUUACCGACAGAAUAAGCACCGGCUAACUUCGUGCCAGCAGCCGCGGUAAUC
Molecule: ribosomal RNA, 502 nt
Filed under: uncultured bacterium
Lineage: Bacteria
Description: bacterial SSU rRNA
Rfam family: Bacterial small subunit ribosomal RNA
Source: RNAcentral